UACAGAGGGUGCGAGCGUUAAUCGGAUUUACUGGGCGUAAAGCGUACGUAGGCGGCUUUUUAAGUCGGAUGUGAAAUCCCUGAGCUUAACUUAGGAAUUGCAUUCGAUACUGGGAAGCUAGAGUAUGGGAGAGGAUGGUAGAAUUCCAGGUGUAGCGGUGAAAUGCGUAGAUAUUAGAAGGAAUACCGGUGGCGAAGGCGGCCACCUGGCUUGAUACUGACGCUGAGGUGCGAAAGCGUGGGGAGCAAACAGG
Molecule: ribosomal RNA, 253 nt
Filed under: uncultured Acinetobacter sp.
Lineage: Bacteria; Pseudomonadati; Pseudomonadota; Gammaproteobacteria; Moraxellales; Moraxellaceae
Description: partial 16S ribosomal RNA
Rfam family: Bacterial small subunit ribosomal RNA
Source: RNAcentral